GCCAACGGCCAUACCACGUUGAACACACCAGUUCUCGUCCGAUCACUGAAGUUAAGCAACGUCGGGCCGGUUAGUACUUGGAUGGGUGACCGCCUGGGAAUCCUGGGUGCUGUUGGUA
Orchesella cincta is the source of this 118-nucleotide ribosomal RNA. Lineage: Eukaryota; Metazoa; Arthropoda; Collembola; Entomobryomorpha; Orchesellidae. The record is from Rfam.